CCUACGGGUGGCAGCAGUGGGGAAUAUUGGACAAUGGGCGAAAGCCUGAUCCAGCCAUGCCGCGUGUGUGAAGAAGGCCUUCGGGUUGUAAAGCACUUUCAGUGGGGAAGAAAGCCUUGGGGCUAAUACCCUCGAGGAAGGACAUCACCCACAGAAGAAGCACCGGCUAACUCCGUGCCAGCAGCCGCGGUAAUACGGAGGGUGCGAGCGUUAAUCGGAAUUACUGGGCGUAAAGCGCGCGUAGGCGGUCUGAUAAGCCGGUUGUGAAAGCCCCGGGCUCAACCUGGGAACGGCAUCCGGAACUGUCAGGCUAGAGGGCAGGAGAGGAAGGUAGAAGUCCCGGUGUAGCGGUGAAAUGCGUAGAGAUCGGGAGGAAUACCAGUGGCGAAGGCGGCCUUCUGGACUGACACUGACGCUGAGGUGCGAAAGCGUGGGUAGCAAACAGGAUUAGAUACCCGAGUAGUC
RNAcentral lists this ribosomal RNA (465 nucleotides) under Vreelandella stevensii. Its description in RNAcentral is "partial 16S ribosomal RNA". It matches the Rfam family "Bacterial small subunit ribosomal RNA", at positions 338 to 795 of the family's 1533-position model. The record is from RNAcentral. Lineage: Bacteria; Pseudomonadati; Pseudomonadota; Gammaproteobacteria; Oceanospirillales; Halomonadaceae.